Molecule: ribosomal RNA, 401 nt
Filed under: uncultured bacterium
Lineage: Bacteria
Description: bacterial SSU rRNA
Rfam family: Bacterial small subunit ribosomal RNA
Source: RNAcentral
GGGGAAUCUUGCACAAUGGGGGCAACCCUGAUGCAGCGACGCCGCGUGAGCGAUGAAGCCCUUCGGGGCGUAAAGCUCUUUCGACCGGAACGAUAAUGACGGUACCGGGAGAAGAAGCUGCGGCUAACUACGUGCCAGUAGCCGCGGUAAUACGUAGGCAGCAAGCGUUGUUCGGAGUUACUGGGCGUAAAGAGUGCGUAGGCGGUUUUCUAAGUUCGGUGUGAAAUCUCCCGGCUUAACUGGGAGGGUGCGCCGAAGACUGGGAAGCUGGAGUGUGGGAAAGGCAGGCGGAAUUCCUGGUGUAGCGGUGAAAUGCGUAGAUAUCAGGAGGAACACCGGCGGUGUAGACGGCUUGCUAGACCAUAACUGACGCUGAGGCACGAAAGCGUGGGUAGCAAACA